CCUACGGGAGGCAGCAGUGAGGAAUAUUGGUCAAUGGACGAGAGUCUGAACCAGCCAAGUAGCGUGAAGGAUGACUGCCCUAUGGGUUGUAAACUUCUUUUAUAUGGGAAUAAAAUGUUCCACGUGUGGGAUUUUGUAUGUACCAUAUGAAUAAGGAUCGGCUAACUCCGUGCCAGCAGCCGCGGUAAUACGGAGGAUCCGAGUGUUAUCCGGAUUUAUUGGGUUUAAAGGGAGCGUAGGUGGAUUGUUAAGUCAGUUGUGAAAGUUUGCGGCUCAACCGUAAAAUUGCAGUUGACACUGGCAGUCUUGAGUACAGUAGAGGUGGGCGGAAUUCGUGGUGUAGCGGUGAAAUGCUUAGAUAUCACGAAGAACUCCGAUUGCGAAGGCAGUUCACUGGACUGCAACUGACACUGAGGCUCGAAAGUGUGGGUAUCAAACAGGAUUAGAUACCCGAGUAGUC
This 460-nucleotide ribosomal RNA is filed under the name uncultured bacterium. Its description in RNAcentral is "partial 16S ribosomal RNA". It matches the Rfam family "Bacterial small subunit ribosomal RNA", at positions 338 to 795 of the family's 1533-position model. The record is from RNAcentral.